GCUGCAAAAACAAAAACAAGCAAACAAACAACAAAUAACUUGAAAAUAGGCUUGUCAAAUGAUGUAAAUUCAUCCUUUCCAGGGAAGCAGAAG
RNAcentral lists this small RNA (93 nucleotides) under Pongo abelii (Sumatran orangutan). Its description in RNAcentral is "processed transcript". The record is from RNAcentral. Lineage: Eukaryota; Metazoa; Chordata; Mammalia; Primates; Hominidae.